RNAcentral lists this ribosomal RNA (861 nucleotides) under Idriella lunata. Its description in RNAcentral is "eukaryotic LSU rRNA". It matches the Rfam family "Eukaryotic large subunit ribosomal RNA", at positions 50 to 938 of the family's 3401-position model. The record is from RNAcentral. Lineage: Eukaryota; Fungi; Ascomycota; Sordariomycetes; Xylariales; Microdochiaceae.
GCGGAGGAAAAGAAACCAACAGGGAUUGCCCUAGUAACGGCGAGUGAAGCGGCAACAGCUCAAAUUUGAAAUCUGGCCUUCUGGUCCGAAUUGUAAUUUGUAGAGGAUGUUUUUGGUUAGGUACCUUCCGAGUUCCUUGGAACAGGACGCCUUAGAGGGUGAGAGCCCCGUACGGUUGGAUGCCGAGCCUUUGUAAAACUCCUUCGACGAGUCGAGUAGUUUGGGAAUGCUGCUCUAAAUGGGAGGUAAAUUUCUUCUAAAGCUAAAUACCGGCCAGAGACCGAUAGCGCACAAGUAGAGUGAUCGAAAGAUGAAAAGCACUUUGAAAAGAGGGUUAAAUAGUACGUGAAAUUGUUGAAAGGGAAGGGCUUAUGACCAGACCUUUGCCUUGCGGAUCAUCCGGUGUUCUCACCGGUGCACUUCGCUUGGUUUAGGCCAGCAUCGAUUUUGGUAGGGGGAUAAAGACUUUAGUAAUGUGGCUCCUCCGGGAGUGUUAUAGACUAUUGUGUAAUACCUUUACUGGGAUCGAGGACCGCGCUUCGGCUAGGAUGCUGGCAUAAUGGUCAUCAGCCACCCGUCUUGAAACACGGACCAAGGAGUCGAACAUUUAUGCGAGUGUUUGGGUGUUAAACCCUCACGCGUAAUGAAAGUGAACGGAGGUGAGAGCCCUUUCGGGUGCAUCAUCGACCGAUCCUGAUGUCUUCGGAUGGAUUUGAGUAAGAGCAUAACUGUUCGGACCCGAAAGAUGGUGAACUAUGCGUGGAUAGGGUGAAGCCAGAGGAAACUCUGGUGGAGGCUCGCAGCGGUUCUGACGUGCAAAUCGAUCGUCAAAUCUGCGCAUGGGGGCGAAAGACUAAUCGA